Molecule: ribosomal RNA, 253 nt
Filed under: uncultured bacterium
Lineage: Bacteria
Description: partial 16S ribosomal RNA
Rfam family: Bacterial small subunit ribosomal RNA
Source: RNAcentral
GACAGAGGGUGCAAACGUUGCUCGGAAUCACUGGGCGUAAAGGGCGUGUAGGCGGGAAGGAAAAUCAGAUGUGAAAUCCCUGGGCUCAACCCAGGAACUGCAUUUGAAACUCCCUUUCUUGAGUGUCGGAGAGGAAAGCGGAAUUCCUGGUGUAGAGGUGAAAUUCGUAGAUAUCGGGAGGAACACCAGUGGCGAAGGCGGCGACCUGGGCCAAUAUUGACGCUGAGGUGCGAAAGCGUGGGGAGCAAACAGG